AGAGUUUGAUCAUGGCUCAGAUUGAACGCUGGCGGCAUGCCUGACACAUGCAAGUCGAACGGCAGCGCGGGUAGCUUGCUACCUGGCGGCGAGUGGCGGACGGGUGAGUAAUGCAUAGGAAUCUGCCCAGUAGUGGGGGACAACGCGGGGAAACUCGCGCUAAUACCGCAUACGACCUUCGGGUGAAAGUGGGGGACCUUCGGGCCUCACGUUAUUGGAUGAGCCUAUGUCUGAUUAGCUUGUUGGUGGGGUAACGGCCUACCAAGGCGACGAUCAGUAGCUGGUCUGAGAGGACGAUCAGCCACACUGGGACUGAGACACGGCCCAGACUCCUACGGGAGGCAGCAGUGGGGAAUAUUGGACAAUGGGGGCAACCCUGAUCCAGCAAUGCCGCGUGUGUGAAGAAGGCCUGCGGGUUGUAAAGCACUUUCGGUAGGGACGAAAAAAGACAGGCUAAUACCCUGUUUCUUGACUUAACCUAUAGAAGAAGCACCGGCUAACUUCGUGCCAGCAGCCGCGGUAAUACGAAGGGUGCAAGCGUUAAUCGGAAUUACUGGGCGUAAAGCGCACGCAGGCGGCGACAUAAGUCAGAUGUGAAAGCCCUGGGCUUAACCUGGGAAUUGCAUUUGAAACUGUGUUGCUAGAGUGUGGGAGAGGGAAGUGGAAUUCCAGGUGUAGCGGUGAAAUGCGUAGAUAUCUGGAGGAACAUCAGUGGCGAAGGCGACUUCCUGGACCAACACUGACGCUCAGGUGCGAAAGCGUGGGGAGCAAACAGGAUUAGAUACCCUGGUAGUCCACGCCGUAAACGAUGAGAACUAGCCGUUGGGAGCUUUAAGCUUUCAGUGGCGCAGCUAACGCGUUAAGUUCUCCGCCUGGGGAGUACGGCCGCAAGGUUGAAACUCAAAUGAAUUGACGG
RNAcentral lists this ribosomal RNA (916 nucleotides) under uncultured bacterium. Its description in RNAcentral is "bacterial SSU rRNA". It matches the Rfam family "Bacterial small subunit ribosomal RNA", at positions 8 to 916 of the family's 1533-position model. The record is from RNAcentral.